UGAGUCACCACAAAGUCACAAACUCUGCAUAAUUAGGCCGAAUAUAAUGCAAAUCACCACACAAGAGGAGGAAAUGGAGUCACAACAAGGAGACAGGGAAACUGUUCGGACAACAGUCGUGAUGCUCUUCUGUUCUGUGUGUUUUUAAUGUAACAACAUUUUACUCCUGAUCUCCUGAAUAUCACACAGGAACCUGUUCUGGAAGAUAAAUGAGAAACUGCUCAUUAGUGACGACGAUGUGAAAUGUCCUCAUCCUCACAGGUCGUUCCAAAACCCAAAGAGGUUCCCAUCCCAUAUCUCCACUAGAGGCCUGAACUGGCUCAACACCAAGCCCAGAUAUGGAUCCUGAUCAGUCUAUGACAGCACUGAACUUCCUCUAGUCUCCAUCUCCAGCACCUUAAAUUAAUCCAGAACAUAGACCACUCCCCAAAACACAUUGAAGACAACAUGGUGGACAGGAAAGUACCCGACAACAGAAAUAAAUAACAGAAACUAAUCCAGAGAAAAGCAGAAUGCAAAAGCGGUGGAGACCCGGUAAGCCUGACGAUUGGGUCGCUUACAGUUGCGACCCCGGUGAUGACUCCUGCGCUCAUCUUCACAACGACGGACGCCUCAACAACAUCAACUGCUCCAACAAGUAUCGCUACAUCUGCCAGAAACACAGCCAGCGCAGUUAAACAGGCUCCGCCCACUGUGACCUGAACAAUGAUCUGAUCCCAGCACAGCAGACUGAUCAGUUCCUGCUCGUCUCCUGUCCAGUUUAUUGAUCAUCUGUAUUCUGUACCACAGAGCUCUUUGUUCAAACUAAUAAAACUCAUCAAUGAGACAAACAGAUAUAAAA
Molecule: long non-coding RNA, 841 nt
Organism: Dicentrarchus labrax (European seabass)
Lineage: Eukaryota; Metazoa; Chordata; Actinopteri; Moronidae
Exons: 2
Source: RefSeq, a predicted model, not a curated record